Molecule: unclassified non-coding RNA, 624 nt
Filed under: Hevea brasiliensis (rubber tree)
Lineage: Eukaryota; Viridiplantae; Streptophyta; Magnoliopsida; Malpighiales; Euphorbiaceae
Source: RNAcentral
GAGCUGAAUGGCGAAAAAGGAUCUGCAUAGCUGACCCUAACUAGUUUGGGAUUCAGGCAUAGUUGUUGUUGUUGUUAUUAUAUUCCUGUGUCUAUGUGGUGUCUGUGGAGAAAAAAAUGAGUGGAGAUUGUAUUAGGAUGUUGGUUUCCUUUUAAUGAGGUUUUAUUCUUUCUAUGUGAGUUGAACUGAGCCAUUUGGAAUGAUCUUUUGGUACUUUUUGAGAAGAAUUGAGUACGAUAUGCACUGGAAACUUUGGUAGUUUAAAAUGGAACUGAAACUAAUAGCUGAUGUAAUCCCUAAUUUCAGUGCUGUGCUUGUAGAGACUGUUUUUUAUUUUAUAUUGUUAACUUUUACUUUUAAAUUGAUUUUUCGAAAUUAUAUACUGUAGGCACUUUAACUUUCAUCAUGGCUGUGAAAAGUUCUCUAUAUACUUAUUAAAUAAUUAAGCAUUUAUGAUUAAUAAUGAAUAUAAAAUGCAUUUAAUUAUAUAUUAUUAUGUCAUGCUGAUGUCAGAGUCAUGAUAAUUGAUCCUCUCUCUUUUCUGGUUUCACUGAUAGGCUAACUUCCGAAACAUUGCUUAUUUAUUUUUCCUAUGGUGCUAGGUAGCAUUUGGAGCUAGCUGAU